Molecule: long non-coding RNA, 237 nt
Filed under: Nicotiana benthamiana
Lineage: Eukaryota; Viridiplantae; Streptophyta; Magnoliopsida; Solanales; Solanaceae
Description: long non-coding RNA (NBEN_LNC018713)
Source: RNAcentral
AUUGAUUAAAAUAAAGUAAUAAAAUUGCAUGCUGUCUUAAAAUGAGAACCCCACGGAGUAUCACCUGCGCUUUGAAGUCCAAGUUCUUGAUUUAAACCACUUCAUGUAUGAACUUCACCAAGCACUAGUAGUUCCUCUAAUUUUUCUGCUUGAUCAUCUCGAAGCAUCUCCCUAUGCUUGAAAGAACCCCCAACAAUAUUUAAAACAUUUGCAAGAAUAUCAAAAAAUUGUUCGGCC